AAUCUGCGUGGCUAGAGUUCUGCAGUACUCCCUGCCCCACAGCUGAGAUCAGUUCUAAAUUUAAAGUCGCCGUGACAGAAUGGUUUCCAAAAUUGGAAAACAAGUUUUCCAUCCCCUGUUCUAGUUAAAAUUCUUCAAGUGUUUUCUUUUCCAGUUUCCGAGUUUUGUUUUUCAGAAGAAGUCAUGCUUGGACUUUCCGUUUCAGCCAGCCAGUUUGAGGAGAGGAUUGGACUCACUGCUUUGGAGUAAGUACCGACCUGAACAUGCAGAAUUAAAGUAAGCAGUGGAAAAUGAAAGUCAGGGAAAGAAUCAGCUUCUCACACAUGAGGCAUGAUCUAAGCAGCAAGGGAAUAAGGACCAUUUUCUACCUCUUAGGUAGAAAACAGGAAUAUUUUGAUGUCCUGUUUUCUACCUAAGAGGAAAUUCAGCAAGUGUCUCUUGAAAUCAGCUAUAGGUUGAGCUGGGAGCUUUCAGACUUUAAAUAGCUUUUGAAGUUGACAUUUUUAUCUUCAUUUCCCGCCCAAAAAAAUGCAGCUCAGAGAUUAAAAGGUGGCCUCAGGCCAUAUAUUGGGUCAGUGCUGGGGCUCAGAUUGAAACCCACAUUUGUCCUCUAUCUCAAGACCUCAUGUUCAUUUUAUUGAUAUCAGGCUGAAUACUGUUUUUUACUUGAAAAUUCAACUUUAUUUAUAAAGAUUCCUUUAUCAACCAAGAAGCCAUUCUACCCCUUCAAAGUAACUGAUAAUUUUAAAAAAAUCUACAUAGUUUUUAACCUUUCUACAUAAAACUGUAUUAUGGGAUGAACAAACAGUCUCACAAGAUGCUCCAAGACAUGUAAACAACAACAACAAUGAAAAAUAAAAAACAACAUCUAGCAUGAAUGUUCUAUUGACAGAAUGAAGACUUAGGAAUCAUACUUUUUAAUAUGCGGCUCCACCAAGAAACGUAAACAUGAUAAUACUUUGGGAGGUAAAGGUUUCAUAAUAAACAGUCUUUUUACAUAGGAUAGUUUAAUUGUGAUCGUGUAGGAUUGAUAUUGCAGGCUAGUAUUUAUGCUCAUUUUAUCAAGUAAGUCUUCAUCAUUGUAAAAAGGGCACAGAUAUUUCUACAUAGAUUUUUCUAACAAUGAAAAUACGCAGAUACUGGUUGGUUUCAUUAUUCAGACCAAUUAAUAACAAAUGCAUAAAAAGAACUAAAAAAAAUCAUCAGGUGACUGACUUACAAAAUUAAAAUUUUCCCUGAAAUCAGAGUAUUGUACUUUAUACUGUGUGUGUGUGUAUAUAUAUAUAUAUAUAUAUAUAUAUAUAUAUAUACACACACACACACACACAAUAAAGGUCAGCCUGCUAAGAAAUGAAUGUUCUAGUAAUGACUUAAGUAAUAACUUCCACUGGCAUCUCUUCUUCUGGGUCUCCAUUUGUCCCACUGAUGUUUGCCCAAAAAAUAAACACAUUACGAUAGCAACUGAGUUUACUAUCAUCAGUGGUACUCAUAGCAUAUUUCUUACAAAUGGAAUAAGGUUCAUUAGCUGAGAUUUAAUUCCUGGUUCCUCUCUUAAUCUGCCAAUUCCCUGGUGUGUGAUUAUCCACUAGGAUUUGAGGAAAUGUGUUUCUCAGUUCCCCAAUACCACUUGACAAGAUCUCCUUCAAUUUGAUUCUAGUGCUGAGGGUCAGUAAGUGAGAGGCUGUUGAAUGAGGCAUGUGAGAGGAGGGUACUGAAGGCUUACUGGAGUGAGAAUACAGACUCCUCUCCCACAGUUUGACGUUGAGUGCCUCCAUUAACCUAUGCGAUCACCAGUGUCCUCAUUAUAAAAUGGGAGUUAUAUUUGCUUUCUAGAGUUGUAGGGUUAAAUGAGAUUAUAUAUAUAUAUAUAUAUAUAUAUAUAUAUAUAUAUAUACACAAGCUUAUAAUAGGGCCUUGCAAGUGGUAAGUACUCAAUAAAAUGUUAUGGUUUGGAUCUGAAAUGCCCCCUCACAGGUUUGUGUGUUGAAAGCUUGGUCCCCAGAGCAGCCAUGUUCAGAGGUGAGGCCUUUGUGAAGGUGAUUGGAUCCUGAGGGCUCUGACCUUAUCAGUGGAUUAACCCCCAUAAUUGGCAUUAUUUGGAGGUAAUAGAGGCAGAGGCUGGUUGGUGGAAGUAGGUUACUGGGGGCAUGCCCUGGAAACAUGUAUCUUAUCUCUGGACACUUUUUCUCCCCUGGAUUUCCUGCCUGCUCUGAGCUGAGCAGCUUCCCACCACCUGUCCUUCUGCCAUGGUGUCCUGCCUCAUCUCAGGCCCAGAGCAUCGGAGCCAGCUGACAGUGGACUGGGACCUCUGAAACUGCAAGCCCAAACAAUUCUUCCCUCCUUUAAGUUAUUGUUAUCAGGUAUUUGUCACAGUGGCAAAGAGCUGGUGGCACAACUGUUAUUACUGUUUGUUAAAUGGUCUGAUUAAAGAAUGCUGAUUAAUUUAUCAAUUUGAACCCGAAAUGCUGUUCCCAGGAGGUGGCAGAAUUCUUCCUUAAGCCAGAUCCUACUCCAUAGGAUACUCAUCACAUUUAGGGUGAUCUGAAGCUGGGAGCUGGGGUGGCUGUGCACCAAGUGUCUCUCAUCCUACUCUCGGGACCAGCCUCUUGGGAUCUUUUUUUUUUUAAAUAUUUAUUUUUAGUUGUAGUUGGACACAACACCUCUAUUUUAUUUAUUUAUUUUUAUGUGGUGCUGAGGAUUGAACCCAGGGCCCCGCAUGUGCCAGGCGGCGCUCCACCACUGAGCCACAAUCCAGCCCCUCUUGGGAUCUUUCCUCCUCUGAGUUGUUCCUGUUGAGUAUUUAGGUCACAGUGACUAAAAUCUGACGAAUACAAUCAUAUAAAGAAGAAACUAGACAUAUUUUGAAUUAUUUCAUGUGAUAGAUCUUAGACUCAUGUUUUAAGAAAAAGAGUAUUGAAAUCUGAAUCAGAAAAAAAUCACUUUUUACCACUCUUUACCAGUUAUGUGACCUUGGCUACUGCACACAACUUCUCGGGUCUCUAUGUCCUCAUUUGUUAAGAAACAAUAAUAUAAAUAAGUCAGUCUUCAUGGGAGGAUUAAAAGAGAUAUGUGCCUGUAUAAAGAAACAGAUCUAAUAGAUAUAUACAGACAUGGGAGAGGAUUUGCUAUGGGAAUUGGUUCAUGCAAUGUUCCAGGAGCAUUGUUCAGAGUCUAAAGGCCUCAGAAUGGGGGAGCUGGUGGUGUAACUCUCAGUCUGAGGAAGAGGGGUGGAGAUGGUGGACUGCUGUUAUAAGUCCUCGAAUCCAAAGGCUGAAAAACCAGGAGGUCUGAUGUAGAAGGACAGGAGAAGAUGGAUGCCCCUGUUCAAGCAGAAAAAGAGAAAGAAUUCACCUUUGGUGGCUUUUCCUCCCCACCCAUGCUCACAACGGAUUGGAUGGUGUCCACCACAUAGGUGAGGACAGAUCUUCUUUACUUAGUCUGGUGAUUCAAAUACUAAUCCUUCUAGAAACACUCUCACAGACACACCCAUGAAUAAAUAAUGUUUUACAAGCCAUAGGGACAUCCCUUUACUCAGCCAAUUGGCAUCUAGGAUAAAGGGCUGUAUACUUCAGGUAUAAUCAUAUAGUGUCAGGCUCCUGUUUGAUUUAGGAUAAUGGCCUCAAGGUUUGGAAUGGCUGCUUGGGGGAGGUAAUGAGACUGUCUAAGCUAGUUGGAGACUCCUAGGAGUCUCUGGCAAGGAUGUGUGGAUUUCAGGCAAUGGGGGGAUCCUCCACCAGAUUAACUACCCAAGUCCCUUUCACUCCAGGCCAUCUGCAAUUCUGCUGAAGAGAGAGUGUGCCAACUGUAUAAAGAGAAAGCACUGAGUAGCUGCAGAUCUUAUCUGUGGCCUGGGAUGGUGAUUUAGGACGCUUGAGUGAAAAGUCCUAGAAAGGGCUGUAAUUUUAUCAUCCUAGCAACUGUUGCUAGGUGCUGCCUCCCUUAGGUCAGAACCAUGCCCAUUGACCUGCCAUUCCACCUGAAAUAUUACAUUUAUUCCCCAGAUUCAUUCCAGGGAGUAAAUGUAAGUGAAAGAAAUUGGCUGGGUGGACACUGUGCAAACUGAAGCCAACUGAAGCCCAUUUAGAGAGAAAUGACCACUUCUCAACCUUAGCUAAUUGUUGACCACUGGCCAUUUGAGAAUGUGGGUCAUGAGUUUUCAGGCCUGUCAGUUGUCAAGGGAAGCCAGGAAUCUGGGUUACAUGGGAAAUGUCCCAACUUCUAAGGAUUGAAAAGUUCUUUAAAUGUUAAUUAUUUAUUAAAUACUGGGCUAGCCAAAUAAUGUGAGGGCCAAAUGAUACAGUUCUCAAGUAGUAGUUGCACCAGGGGAGAAGCAAGGGAGAAUAUCAAACUUUCAUAUUCUAUAUGAAAUAUAGAAUCCAUCUUUUUUGUGGUUGGGAUCACAGAACAUUCUUGAAAACAUAGGCAAUAAGUUUGCACAUUGGAUUUUAAGAUUAUGAUCAAGAGAGUAAUGACCAAAAGACAUUAGUUAAGGCUCUGUGAAAGCUAAAUGUCAAAACAACUAGAAAAGAUAAAGGGUGACAUUUUUUUAAAAUGUUGUAAUUAUUUCCCCACAAUCCUCUGGGAAAAACUUUCUCAGCUUGCCUGUCAAUACCUGCCACUAACGUCGUAAUGUGACUCGGUUUAUUUAAUAUUAGUUUAGUCUUUUCCCGCCAAAGAAAGAAGUACAGAACUCUACAACACUUUGAUUAACAUAGAUUAAGUUUUAUGGGAAGGAGAGAAUAAGCAAGCGAUUGGCCUGGAACCCAGAGCCUAACCAUGAAGAUUGUAAGCCUCACUAAGAUACCACCAAUAUAAGUGUUGAACAGCUAGUUCCCUGAAAGCCCUUGUUUAUGUCAUCUGCCUAAUUACACUUUGCAACCAUGGCUAAUUUCAAUCCACCAAUGUGAUGUCACCAAAAUUGGGAUUAGAGAGAGAUGGCACAGUUGGCUCCAUUUUCCCUCUGGGCCUAUCACAGUGGGAUCUUGCAGCAGAGUGGAAAGUAAGAAGGCACAGGUACUAGACAGUGGGUCUGAGGAGGUCCCACUAAGCCCAGUCCAAAUACCUCCUUCUGCAUAAGGCCUUAUCAGAAUCUUCUAUCUGACUGUGGAAGGUAUAUCCUUAACUGAUUAGGAUAUCAAACACAAAAUUUAAUUAAGUAAUGUCAUAUCCUGAUUGGCAGUUAUAGAUAUCCAUGAAUGAUGAAAAUAACUAAUUACGGAGACAAAUCAAACCUAGGCACAAGAUUGUCAGCUCCAUGGACAUUCCUUUCUAUCAAAUAUAGAAUCCUUUUUUGUGUGUGUGGUUGGUAUCACAGAACAAUAGGUCUGGAUGUGUGGAACCUCUGAGCUCUGGUCUAUAUCUCUGGAUGUUAGGUAGCCUUACAAGCUGGUUAACUCCAAAAUUGUUGUAAUAACAUAAUUAUUAUUUUUAGAGGGUAAGCACCUUUGGCCUCUGGGAAAGCUUUGAAUUAAAUAUAGAAAUAUUGAAGAGAUCAAACCCAUCAACUUUUUGGGAUUUAUGGAUUAAUGUUGAGAAAUAAAUUGUGCACAUUUGGUGUUUUAAGUAUAGUCAUUCUUCAGUCUCCAAUAGAGAGUAGUUCCCUGUGGAUACUAAUAUCUGCUUAUGCUCAAGUAUUUUCCAUGGUGCAGUAUUUGCAUACAUCCUCCCCCAUACUUUCAAUCAUCUCUAGAUUACAAUGCUCAAUAUAAAGCAAACAUUAUGUAAAUAGUUGUUAUGUUGUAUUGCUUAGAGAAUACCAACAAAAAAAUCUGUUCAUGUUCAGUAUAGAUGAAAUUAUUUUUCCUGAAUAUUUUUGAUUGCUAGCGAUGAUCAACUUUUUUUUCAUAUAUUUGUUGAUUGAUUAUAUAUCAUCUUCUGAGAGGUGUCUGUUCAGGUCCUUGGCCCAUUUAUUGAUUUUUUUUUGGUGUUUAGUAUUUUGAGUUCUUUAUAUACCUUAGAGAUUUGUGCUCUAUCUGAUGUGUGAGGGGUAAAAAUUUGCUCCCAAGAUAUAGGCUCUCUAUUCACCUCACAGAUUGUUUCUUUUGCUGAGAAGAAACUAUUUAGUUUGAAUCCAUCCCAUUUAUUGAUUCUUGAUUUUAAUUCUUGUGCCAAAGGAGUCUUACUAAAGAAGUUGGGGCCUAAUCCCACAUGAUGGAGAUUAGGGCCUACUUUUUCUUCAAUUAGACAUAGGGUCUCUGGUUUUGUUCUUAGGUCCUUGGUCCAUUUUGAGUUGAGUUUUGUAUAUGGUGAGAGAUAGGGGUUUAAUUUCAUUUUGCUGCAUAUGGAUUUCCAGUUUUCCCAGCACCAUUUAUUGUAAAGGCUACUAUCUUUUCUCUAAUGUAUGUUUUUUGGCACCUUUGUCUAAUAUAAGAUAAUUGUAAUUUUGUAGAUUAGUCUCUCCAUCCUCUAUUCUGUACCAUUGGUCUACCAGUCUGUUUUGAUGCCAAUACCAUGCUGUUUUUUGUUACUAUUGCUCUGUAGUAUAGUUUAAUAUCUGGUACAGUAAUGCCACCUACUUCACUCUUCCUUUUCUAUGAGGAAUGUCAUUGGGAUUUUGAUUGGAAUUGCAUUAAAUCUGUAUAGUGCUUUUGGUAGUAUGGUCAUUUUGAUAAUAUUAAUUCUGUCUAUUCAAUCUAUAAUUGGUUAAUUCCACAAAUGGUUAAUCCACAAUUGGUUAAUCCCACAGAUAUGGUGGACCAACUACAUUUGUAUUGUUUAAAUAAACUGGAGUCAGAGAUUAGCCUUACAAGUCUAUUAAUAUUAUUAAAUAACUCACAGUAAGUUGUGGCUGUUUAGUUCAGCUGGUUGGAGCGUGGUGCUAAUAACUCACAUUAGUUUGUUUUACAUUGUAGUCUUUACAUCAAGGUCUUUCUAAAAUGACACACAUUGAUGGACGUCAUUAUACAAAGUACAUGUAUGAAGACUUGAAUUGGGUGUCAACAUACUUUAUAAACAAAUAGAGAUAUGCAAAAUUGUGGUAUAUAUGUGUAUUAAGAAUUGUAAUGCCAAAAAAACCCCCCACAAAGUACAUGUAUAAAGGCAUGAAUUGGAGUGAACAUACUUUAUAUAGAGAGAUAUGAAAAAUUGUGCUCUAUAUGUGUAAUAAGAAUUAUAAUGCAUUCCACUGCUGUCGUAUAUUUAAAAAAAUAAAAUCAAUAAAAUAUUUUAAAAAUGACAUACAUUUAACAUAAUUUAAGAAUAUUACAUUCGUAAGUUUAUUAGAUUUGUAGGGGUUUUUUAAGCACUCAGGAAGAUUUUGCUUAUUAAAUUACAGUGCUUGAAAGGAGAAUUAAAUACUUUAUAUUUAUAAGUAAGUUUAAAUUAUUUAUGAUCAUCUAAUUAAGUUGUAAAUAUAUCCUUAGUAGGGACUGCUGAAAUUUGCUAGAGCCAUACUAUUCAUUUUAUAAAAUAAUAAGAUUCAUAAAUUGCAUUAAAAACUAAAGGAAAAUUUAAAAUUUGUAACCUAAAUGAAAUGAAUAUUAAUUCUGGAAACAGAAAUAACCUUUGAGUAAUAUUUUGGGGCACAAAAGCCACUCUUGGGAGUAUCCAACAAUCUUUCAUUGUCACUUAACUCCCACAGGCAGAGUUAUUUUCUGCCUCCCUGUGCCUUGUUCCCCAGUAUUUGUGCAAUGCAUUCAACUGUACCCAGGCCACACUCACUGUGUUAGUUUGCAAGAUUCCCUUUCUCAUGAGACUCUGUAUUCUCUUGGAACAAGUGCAAGACUUGGCGCUAGGGGGAAGAUUUCAAAAUCUAAAAGAAACAUUUGCUAAAUAGUGGGGAGUAAAUAGUGGGGAGAAGCCUGAGAAGGGAGGAGAAAGUAGCACCAGGAUGGACUUGGGGCAGGUGUGUGGAAAGGAGGCCAAGGGUUGACCUCCACUUGCCUUCGUGGCCUGGGCUCUCGCAUAACUUCUCUUUCAAGCUCCAUGUGAUUCUGCAGCUGUUUGUGUAUCUUAGAGUUGGGCUCCAUGUUUUGAUAAGUGGCUCUUCUCCACAUUCCAAACACUCAUUCAGCAUGAGAUUAUGCCAACACUUGCCCAGUCGUCAUUUGUAGAAGGAUUCACUGAAUUAUGUCAUCUCAUGACCUGAUGCAGCUGUUCCAAGGCUAUCAGAAGUCACCGUCUCCUUGACAAAGUGGCCUCGGUGAAAGCAACAACUGCUUUUCUUGGUCCAUUUCCUGUUGCUAUAGCUUAAUAGCACAAUCUGUGUAAUUUAUAAAGAAUAAAGGUUUAUUUGAUUCUGAAAGCUGGGGAGUUCAAGAUCAGACAGUUGUCUCUGAUGAGGAUCUUCUUGCUAGUGGGGACUCUCGGCAGAGCUCGGAGAUGGUAUAGAACAUCACAUAGGAAGAUAGAACAGCUUAGCUGAGGUCUUUCUCCCUCUUCUUAUAAAGCUAUAGUCCCAUUGGAUUAGGGCCGCACCCUUAUGGAUUAUUUUACCUUUGACACCUCAGAAGGAUGUCACCUCCAAAUAUCAUAAUUGGAUUAAAUUUUCACCUGUUAAUGCUCACAAUGGGGAUUAAAUUUCAACUUCAGUUUAGAUAACAGCAUUAAAUCCAGAGCAGAAAGUAAGUCCAGAUAUUUGGGCAUUAAAAAAAGUGGAUUUGUUUUAGCUAUAAGAGUAAGAGAAAAUUGAGAACCUUGGGUGGCUAUGUUUUAUCCAUCUCUAUGAUUCCACCUUGAAUAGAAUCAUAGAAAUGAAAGGCACAUGGUAGACAUUUAAUUAUUUGCUGCAUGAAGAAAUAAGAGCAUGGAUGAAUAAAAAAGCAUGACUCAACAAAAGGAGCUGAAGUCUAUAAAGAUACUUUCAUAGAUGGUGGUGGUAACUGGCAGCUCUUCUGUCUGUUUGCAAUAGCACCCCCUCUUCCUCAGGAGCACUAUGGAUCUAUGGAUUCAGGUAUGAUUAGGAGCUAACCUCUUUCCUCAAAUUCCAUGCCCAGGCUGUAAGGAUUGGACAGAGCUAAGCACCUGAGCCAACCUGAGCCAGUCUGAGUUCCCCAGACAUUCCCAGGGAGCCUCUGUCAUUCAAGACCUCCCAUGAUUAGAAUAGAAUUGGCCAAAGAGUGAGUGAGAGAGAGAGAGAGAGAGAGAGAGAAUAUUAAAGGCAUUAGGAGUUUAGUCAUCCCUGAGGUCUGUUUUUUUUUUUUUUUUUAGUAUUAUUUUUGCCUAAACCAGUUUGAGGUAGUAGUUUUGAAAUGCAGAGUGUAUUAGUAUAAUGGGCAAUGAUGGUGCCAAUAAUAAUAGUUUAGUAUUGAGUGCCUUCUGGGUACUGAGUACUUUAUUUAGAGUAACAUAAAGCUGACACAGAUGCUCUUGCUCUUGUUCUACCUGGUGAUAGGCUCUUAGGAGGAGUCAAAGAGGAGGAAGAAGAAUACUUAAAACAUGGCUGUUGGAGUAAGGGAGACUGUAAGGUGAGAAAUGACAAGAAUAUGGAUGAGGACAGUGGAAGUGAGGAUUGAUUCUGGACUCUCCAUUCUGUGAGAUGCAGUUACAGCAGGCAGACGUUAGCUCCCCUCUGAGGCUUACAAUGCUCCAGGCACCGUCCUGUGGGCUUCACAUGCAUUAAAUGGCUUAAUCCUCAUAUAGGACCUAGAGGUGGGAACUGAUGAUAACCCCCUGUUUCAAUUGUACCUAGGACUGAAUUUAUGGAGGUGACUGAGUGACAACAUAGAGAGGUCAAUGCCAUUGAAAGAAGUUUAUUACUCACAGAUUCAGAGGAGAAGGUUUGCCAUGACAUGCNUCCAUCUCUAUGAUUCCACCUUGAAUAGAAUCAUAGAAAUGAAAGGCACAUGGUAGACAUUUAAUUAUUUGCUGCAUGAAGAAAUAAGAGCAUGGAUGAAUAAAGAAAGCAUGACUCAACAAAAGGAGCUGAAGUCUAUAAAGAUACUUUCAUAGAUGGUGGUGGUAACUGGCAGCUCUUCUGUCUGUUUGCAAUAGCACCCCCUCUUCCUCAGGAGCACUAUGGAUCUAUGGAUUCAGGUAUGAUUAGGAGCUAACCUCUUUCCUCAAAUUCCAUGCCCAGGCUGUAAGGAUUGGACAGAGCUAAGCACCUGAGCCAACCUGAGCCAGUCUGAGUUCCCCAGACAUUCCCAGGGAGCCUCUGUCAUUCAAGACCUCCCAUGAUUAGAAUAGAAUUGGCCAAAGAGUGAGUGAGAGAGAGAGAGAGAGAGAGAGAGAAUAUUAAAGGCAUUAGGAGUUUAGUCAUCCCUGAGGUCUGUUUUUUUUUUUUUUUUUAGUAUUAUUUUUGCCUAAACCAGUUUGAGGUAGUAGUUUUGAAAUGCAGAGUGUAUUAGUAUAAUGGGCAAUGAUGGUGCCAAUAAUAAUAGUUUAGUAUUGAGUGCCUUCUGGGUACUGAGUACUUUAUUUAGAGUAACAUAAAGCUGACACAGAUGCUCUUGCUCUUGUUCUACCUGGUGAUAGGCUCUUAGGAGGAGUCAAAGAGGAGGAAGAAGAAUACUUAAAACAUGGCUGUUGGAGUAAGGGAGACUGUAAGGUGAGAAAUGACAAGAAUAUGGAUGAGGACAGUGGAAGUGAGGAUUGAUUCUGGACUCUCCAUUCUGUGAGAUGCAGUUACAGCAGGCAGACGUUAGCUCCCCUCUGAGGCUUACAAUGCUCCAGGCACCGUCCUGUGGGCUUCACAUGCAUUAAAUGGCUUAAUCCUCAUAUAGGACCUAGAGGUGGGAACUGAUGAUAACCCCCUGUUUCAAUUGUACCUAGGACUGAAUUUAUGGAGGUGACUGAGUGACAACAUAGAGAGGUCAAUGCCAUUGAAAGAAGUUUAUUACUCACAGAUUCAGAGGAGAAGGUUUGCCAUGACAUGCAGGGCCACAGUGUCACAGGGAAGUACUAGGGUCAUUCAGGAGUCUGAGGAGCAAGGAGAAUGCAUUCCAGAGCCUUUCUUGUGGUUUUCCUGGGAAAGAAAGAGUGUGGCAGGGUAGGUGAGUUGAGAAAAUUUAGGAUUGACUGCUCUUUGAAAUUUUUCAUUUCGUGGUAGACUGAAUUAGGUGCCCUAAUUUUUGGUACCUGUUCCAGGGAUGAUUUAGAAUAGGGGAAAUUUUGGUUUGGUGUGUGAGAAUUAGAUAAAGAAGGUUGUUGGAGACAUAGGCUUUGUUGGUGUGUAUAUGAAAGGCAAGCUGACAACUAAAUGGUUGGCUAUCUCUAGGCAUUACUUAGCCUCGGAAGCGACAGUCUCUUCAUGGCCUGCAAGAUGUCAAAAUAUCAAAGCAUCAUAAGGUAUAGAAAUUUAACCCCUUGUCCCUGGCUUGAUAGGCUAGGGAAUUAUGAUGAAGAGGGGAUGAUUAAUUUGCACAAGGUAACCCAGCCAAGUGGUGAAGCUGGAUAUUCAAUCAGGGGAUGGCCUCUAUGUUUAAUCAUUGUGAUAAUCACCUCCAGAUUCAUUUAGUCUUUCUAAAAAUGGUAACAUGCAAGAGUUCAGUAACUCUGGAAAACUUUUACACAUAAAUAAAAUUUAUUUUAUGGUAUGUAAGAAUAUUGGAGACAAUUUUUCAAUGUUCACAUGAACUUAUAAUCUGCUAUUGCAACUUGAAUAAAUAUGUUUCACUUUUGUGAUCAAAGGAAAUAUGUUGUCAUGGAGCAGAAUGCCUUCCAGAGUCCCACAGGGCCUAUUUGACUCCAGUGGCAUUUUUGAUUAAUAAGGAGCAGGUGGCAUGAAUGUGGCUAGGCCAACAUUCAUCUCUCAGGGGUGGUUUAGAUUUAGGCUGGACUGAAACAGAGAGAUGGUCCUUCAUGACCUUUCAAGGUUUACUGGGGACAUAACAUAAUUUCUUUCUGGUUUCCUUAUCUGGCUAAUCCACAGUUUUCUCCUGGUUUUCACAAAAGGAGCCAAAUGAAUUAUUCAAGUCACUUCCAUAUUUUUCAAGUGAGGUAGACUAGCACAGCAUUGUAAAUAUCUCUUCACCUUGCUUUAUCCCUUUUACAAAAUGUUUAAGUGGAAAUACAUAUUUAGAUGAAAAUUGUGAAUUCGUAAACAUCAGUUAUUUCUUUUUGUGAAAAAAUUAUCAUUACUUUUUCCCAAAUAUUUUUAUUUCAAAUAAUAUUUCAUUCAUUUGCUCUUAUGUAAAAAAAGGACAAAAACUCACAAGUAAACCAUAGCACACAUUUCUUGUAUAGCUGUGGCAUAUAAGGUUUCUUGCUGCAGGCUAUUAUUAAAAUAUCUUAUUUUGAUGUCUUGUUUAUAGAUGUGUUACCUUAUUUAACUCACAUAAUAAUUCUGCUGAGGCAGGCAGGAUGGGCAAAGACAUGAUGGUAGGUGCUGUUUUUUGUCUGAGGAGCCACAUUUCUUAUCCUGCGAAUAACAAGAACCCUCAUUGGCUUGCCAUCAGGGAGGUCCAAAUGCUUUUGGUGCAUAACCAAAAGGUUAGGGGCCUGUAGUGGUUGACAAUGGUUUGACUGCUCAUUGAAACCAUUGGGCACUCACCUCCUUCCACCUUUCCAUCCUUAGUUGGCUCUCCAUACUUAUGGCUGCUAAGGUGCAACCUCUUGUUUAAAUUUUACACAGAAAACACUGGUAGGAAUUGACUCAGUUUGACCCCUUCUCACUGUGCAACAACUUUUUUAUUUUUAACCUUGAAAUAUCUAUAUCUAUAUCUAUAUAUAUAUAUAUACAUACACACACAUACACACAUAUAUGAAUAUAUAUAUAUAUUUAUAAAUGCAUAUUCUAUAUAUUAAUAUUAUAUUUCAAUAUAUUUAUAUUUAAAUAUUUUAAAUAUACAUAUUUUAUACAUAUUUUAAAUAUACAUAUUUAAAUAUAUUCAUAGAAAGAUAGAUAUAGAUAGUUGUUCAUGGAUCUAAAACAUUAACUGUACAAGGUUAUACUUGCUGGGAGAAGGAAAUGAAGGAGAGAAAAUUAUCUUUUCAUCCUUUAGCUACAAAGUUGACUACAGAGGGUGGUGAGAAGAAUCAGAUGAUUAUUUUUACAUUAGCUUUUUAACACACAGCUUUGUCACAUUUUCCCUGACAUCCAUCUCUAUUCUUAACCAAGUUUUGGUCUUGUACUCCUACGGGGACAAUGAGUCAUAAGGUCUUGGCCAGAACUUUUGGAAGGAACAGUAACUUCUGAGUUAGAAAGCCAGGGGACGGGCUGGUGGCAUAUGUCAAUGGUAUAGCAGUUGCCUAGCGGUGCCAAGGCCUGGGUCAUACCCCCAGCACCAAAAGGAUCGGGGGAGCCAGAAAGACAUUUUGAGGGCACAGAUUCCAGCUCAGCACCACUGAAGACUCCCCUAAAGUCAUACUUGGGAAAGUAUGGUGGUUUCUCUGGUGUCCAACUUGGUGAGAUGACCAUUUCUGUUAAUUAAUCCCACACUAACCUAAACUUUGAUUUGAAGGUAUUGUGCAUAUAUGAUUAAAGUCCAAAAGCAGUUGACCUUAAAUAAGGGAGAUGAUCUUAAAUAGUGUGGGAGAGCCUAAUUCAGACAGUUUUAAGGUCCUAAAGGCAGAGCUGAUGCUUUCUUGAGGAAGAAGAACAUCUACCAUGGAUAGCAGGCUAGCCAGUGCUCAGGUUGUCUAGCCACCCUACGGAUUUCAGAUAUGCCUAGCUAGGCCCACACUCAGGUGAGUUACUUCCUUUCAACAGAUCUCUUAAUAAAUGUCUUCCACUGGCCUGAAUGAACCUUGGUUUAGACAGAUGGUAUUACUUGAUAACUUGAGAGAGUGAGAAUUUCAACUCACUAAAUGAAGGUUUCGAUUUGUAUUGAUUUUUAAUGGGUCUGUAAUUGUAUUAGGAAUGGAUUCUGAUCAUCUGUGACCUCAUCAAUCUGAUUUUUUUUUUGCAGGAGUCACUACUUUUAAGGUCACCAAUAAUGUUGAAAACACUUGAAAAGAUGGAGGUAUAAAUAUAAAAAUAAGCAUGAAUAUACAUACAGAUCACAAUAUGUUUAUUCUCCCAUACAAAUUAAAUUUUAUUUGAUGUUAAAAACAUAGACUAUUGGGCUCGAGAUGUGGCUCAAGCGGUAGCGCACUCGCCUGGCAUGCGUGCGGCCCGGGUUCGAUCCUCAGCACCACAUAUAAACAAAGAUGUUGUGUCCGCCGAAAACUAAAAAAAAAUAAAUAUUAAAAAAAUUCUCUCUCUCUCUCUCUCUAAAAAAAAAUAUAGACUAUAUCCCCAUGUUAAUUUUUCAUUCCACCUUAAGAAUAGAAUAUUUUAAAAAAUUAGGGUUGUCUUCUCUGCGUAAUUUUGACUUUGCUGCUGUUCUCAAAAGCAGAAUGUAAACCUCCCAAAUUUGGAAUGCUUAGAGGAAGAAAAACAAGGAUUGCAUUGGAAAAGGCAGAACCAGAGUGAAAAGCCAGUGUAAAGACCGAACGCUCAGUUCUGACUCUGGCGAAGCUGUGGGUUGCAUUUCCAGAACUUCUGCCGCCUGCCCUGUCUCAUACUGAAGCAAUGAUGCCCAUUUGCUUAGUAGUGGGUUUCAGAGAUCACUUUUUCAUCCUUGAUUCCUCUCCAUAUCUUUUCAAUCUCCCAGUAAAAUUAAUCAAUAUGUACAUAUAUCUUUUUACUUGUCACCAUCCUUAUGUUUACAACUUGAUUUCAAACCACCAUCCGUUUUCACCUGAAAUGAUUCCAAAGCUCUCUGUCUGAACCUUCUGUCUUCACACUUGCUGAACUCAAAGAGAAACAAAAGUGAUCUUUCUUAAGGAUCAAUUGGACCCAAUGUUUUAGAAUGAAAGUUGCUGUUUUCCAUGCUGACUAGCCCCUCUGUAACCUGGAUCCUGACUCCCUUCCUAACCCAUCUCUUGCCACUCUCUCCUCUCCUCUCUGUGCUCUCCAAUCUGCGACCCCUUUUACCCAUCCCCCAUUUCAGGAUCUUUGCACAUGACACUCCUUCUGCUCUAAAGGUUCUUAUUUGGCAGUUGCUUUAUGCAGUUGCUUCUGUCUUAGCACAGAACUCUUAUCAUUAGUACAUAAAGGGCAUGUACAGGGGGCUGGGAUUGUGGCUCAGCAGUAGAGCACUGGCCUAGCACAGGCAGGACCCAGGUUCGAUCCUCAGCACCACAUAAAAAUAAAGGCAUUGUGUUGUGCCCAUCUACACCUAAAAAAAUAAAUAUUUAAAAAAAUAAAAAUAAAGGGUAUGUACCAUGGACCCUUAGUACAUAAAGGGCAGAGAGACAUUGGCCAUAAUCUUAUGCCCAGUAUUCAGGAAGUGUCCACUAAUGUAUUUGUCAAAUUUAUCAAGCAAGCUAAAAUAGUAUUCCCUUGGAGAAACCUCUCUGGGCAUCCUAUGAAACCUCACCCAUCCCAGUUACUUUUUGUCAUAAAAUUAUAAGUAUGGGAAUAAAUUAUGUAUUCAUUUUAUUUUUUUUGUUAUUGACCUUCCCCAAGCUAACAUAGACUCAGAGAAUUUAAUCCCAAAAUAGGUUUAAAGUAUCAAUAGGAUAAAUUUGCCUAUUAAAAAAGAAAAGUACUAAAAUAAAUAAAAUGCUAAAUUCAAACUGCAGACUAUUACAUAAGAUACAGAUCUUAAUAGAUUGUCUUUGUAUGGUCAAGUGAAUUAUAGGGAAAAGAGACACUGGGAUGGUGAUAUUAAUACCAGAUAAGACUGAAUUCAAGGCAAGCUCUAUUAAUUGAGAUAAAGAGAAACACUUAAAAAAUAACAAAACAGUGUACAAUAAUGAAAUCUUUAAUUUUUAUGCAGAAAAAAUACCAUAAAAUACAUAAAUCAAAAACUUCAGGAAAUUCAAAGAGAAAUAAAAAGAAAUAUAAUAGUAACAGAAAACUUAAAUUUACCUUUCAACCAUAGCAGAGCAAGUAGACUAACAAUAAGAGCAUUGUUUUAGUCCAUUUUGUGUUGCUAUAACAAAACACAUGAGGUUGGGUAAUUUGUAAUGAAAAGAGGCUUACCUAGCAAGAAUUUUAGAGGUUCAAAGUUCAGAAUUAGCAGCCACAUCUGGAAAGGGCCUUCUACUGUGUCAUAACAUGGUGUCACAUGGCAGGAGUUGUAGGUCAGGCCAUGAGCAGCAUGUGUGGAAGAUCUCACAUGGUGAGAGAGGAAGAGACUAGAUGGAGUCAGGCUUGCUUUUUUUUAUAGUAACCCACCAUCAUGGGAAUUAAUCUACUCGUGUGAGACCUAACUUAUUCAUGAGAUAAGCACUAAUCCCUUCAAUAGAAUGAUCAUGACCCAAACACUUCCCACUAGACACCACCACUUAAAUAUCCCACCACUGUUCAGUAUCAUCACACUAGGGAACAUGCUUUCAACGUAUGAGCCUUUCAGAGACAAACAGCAUACAAACCAUAGCAAACAUGCAGGGUCGGAAGAACCUAAUUAACUAGGUUGGUGUCACAAUCACAUGUUUAACAUCAUAGUACUGUAACAGACAAUGCACAGUCUUUUAUUUAGAUGCAUAAAUUAAUAAAAGUUAAAAUAACUUAAUCCAUGAUAUCUGACCACAAUUUUUAACACAAGUAGAAUCAAAAUGAAUGUUUGUUACUUGGAAAUGACAACAUUUUUUUUUCUGAAACCACAUAUGGUUCAGAGAAAAACAAUCAUAUUCUUAAGGUCACAAAGAAAAUCACCAUAAAUUAAUGAAGGUUAAAAUAACUUAAUCCAUGAUAUCUGACCACAAUUUUUAACACAAGUAAAAUCAAAAUGAAUGUUUGCUACUUGGAAAUGACAUCAUUUUUUUCUGAAACCACAUAUGGUUCAGAGAAAAAUAAUCCAAACAACUCUCAAAUACCUAUCUAAUAAUGAUGAUUAAAACAUUAUAUGUCAAAAUAGAAGAAUUUGUUAAAGUUGUACCCAGGGGCACAUGCAUCACCUUAGCACAUGUGUUUAUUUAAAACUUAAAAAAAAGUAAGUGAAUAAAGUAUUCAACUCAAAAAGUAAGAAAAGGAAAACAAAAAAAUCAAGGGAAAACAAGAAAAAAUAAAGAUAAUUACAGAAAUAAACUAGAAUGCAGAAAAAAAGAACCAACAGAUCCAAUAACUAGUUCUUUGAAAGAGAAUACAGAUAAACUUCUAGAUAGUAACCAGUGAAAUUGGGGGUAAAUCACAAAUAGCAUAAUUGAGAUAGACCAAGGGAAUAAACAACAUCAAUAAGGGAAGUUAAAACAUUUAUGGAACUACCUUUCAAAACUCUACGCAUUUAUAUUUGAAAACUUUUAUGACCAAACACCACAAUUCAGCUUAAAAACUGCAAAAGAAGAAAUGCUAUUGUAUGUUUCAGUAAAUAUUGAGUACAUAAUAUCUCUGUGUUGGGGCUGGAAUAAAGAAAAAUAUCCUGGAUGAGGCAUGAUGCAGUGCAGGUUUUAACCAGAGCUUUCAGGAGCCCUGGUGCUUAUUAACUGUCUUCUUAGGACGUCACAAAGUUUCUUUGUGCCCCAGUUUUUAUUGCCUACACAGUGAAGAGAUUUGUGAUUCGAUAACGGUGAGCCUGAAGAAACCCAAAGUGGGAAAUACAACUGCUUUUCAAAAAUGUGUAAUGAAAGGUUACUCUAUUAUUUUACUGCUUUAGCAAUUUCUUAAUGAAUGAUGGAAAUCCAUCGUUCAUUAUAUGACUUCAGAUCUACCUAAAGACUAAGUGAAAUUCAUUGAUUAUGUGGGGGUUAAAUCUGGAAGUGGCUCCCAUGAAGAGCCAACCGGUUUGACCAGGAACAUCUCCAUGCCUUGUGAGAGAGUUCAGGAAUAGAACCAGUUGGCAUGAUGAGUGUUCAGCCGGCAUGAACUGGAUGUGGAUGGGCACAGAGGAAGCAAGUGUUCAAACAGGGCUUGAACGUCUAACGUCAAGAGAGGUGGUACCUGAGGCAGGGAAAAGGAACGAGAAUAUUACAUAAACACUCAUUCGAGAAGAACGUGAGGCUAUGUGCUGAGAAGUGACAGCAUUCAAAUAUCCUGUAGGCAGAGAUGGCUGUUCGUUUGGAUGGACACAAUUUUCAGAGCCUGGGGUCUGAGCUCUGGCUCUCCAAGUCACUCCAUGUGAUCUUAAGCAAGUUUAUUUUUAUUUUUUUACAGUUCUGACUGAACAGAGUGGUGAACAUACCUAUCAGGUGUUAGGAAGUAGCAGGACUGAGUCUGUAUGGUUGGUUAUGUUGGCUUUGCCUUGUGAAGUAUAUGGUUGAAAAUUGCAUCACACAUAAAGUCCAAGUAAGCCUCCACCUGUGUAGUUUAUCAGCAAUUUCUAUGGUAUUAAUUUCUUAAAGCAUCUAAGUCCAACAUCUAUAGGAGAAAGCAAUCCUGAAGAAUCCUCCGGGGGAGGCUUGGUUGAUUUGAAACACCCUCACCCAUGUUGUAAGGCUAUUCAGUAAGCCCUCCAGGAUUCUAAACUUGGUACCUGGCAAAAAUAAGCAUCCCCACAGCUUUCUGCACUAUUCAGUCUUGUUUUGCAUUGCUCUCAACAGACUAUGUGUUUGUUUUUCCUCUCUGGCUUUGCUGACUUUUGGAGACUGUCCUGGGUAAUAGGCCUGACUGGCUCUAAGGUCCAGUUUACAUCUCACACUUGGCAGCAGCUCCAUACCCAGGCCUGCCCAGGCUGGGACCACUCACCGUGUUCUCAGGUUGUCAGCUUCGUACAACUGCAGAGGACAAGAGGCUGGCUGCUCCAAGGUAAAUAUUAAGGAAACUGGAUGCAGAUGGUAUAAAGCACAGGGCAGUGUGAGGCACAGGCUCAGAGAGAUACCUGGACCAGAUAAAUCCCUGAGAAUUAAAACAGACAAGGAUGUUCACCAAUUAUGGCAAUCAUGCACAGAACAGUGCCUGAAUGAGGUGUCUUCCUGUGGGGGUCACAGACGACUACACUGCAGUUAACCCCAGUGAGGACAGCAGGAGAACUGGCUGUGGAUCCACACACAGAUCUGUGUAAUUAUAAUCAUGUUGCAUUUAUUCAUCUAUUUUGCUUACCAUGUAAUAUAUUACAAAUGCUCUCUAUGUUUAUCUUUUAGGAAUGGCUAAAUGAAGUCACAGAGGGUUCCAUGCUUAGAAGGUCCCCUGCCUUAAUGCUCUGUAGUUACCAUCUCAAAAUUCUUAAUAAUUUUGAACAAAGUACACAAUAUUUUCAUUUGGUAGUGGCACCUGCAAAUUAUAUAGCUGGUUCUAAUUUCUACUUUAUUUUGUUUUUAUUUUUAGGACUAUGUUAUUUUAUAAUUUAUGUUAUGCUCAAACAUUCAAGCUGUACUCUUGUAUGGAUAGUCUUGCAAGAAGAUAUCUAAAUUUAAUUUUAGUAGGUUAGUUAUUCAGGAUAAAUUCUAGGCAUGAUCAGUGUGUGUGUGUGUGUGUGUGUGUGUAUUUGUGUCACAUGUUGCCUUCUGAUGUAACACCUCAUUCCUUCAUAUUAUUUGUUGAAAUAACACUAUGCAUCUCACUUCUUUUGAGCCAAGAGGAUGAUCACUCAGCUUUAGAUCUCUUGAAGAGAGCCAUCACCUUGUCUGCCUGCUCAUCAGCCCUGGGAUAAGGGACAUGUAUAGGAGAUGCCAUGUGUGCUGCUCACUGUGCCUCCUGGGAAGGAGGGUGGUGGUUACCGUCACCUGGGAGAGAACCCUUCUGGACUCAGCCUUUUCUGAAAAUGGAGGGUCAACUGAACAAUUAUUUGGUGUGGAUUAAGAAAAACAUUAUAGUAACCUAAUGCCUGGAAUAAUAAUGCCUGGAAUGCUGUAGAUGCAAAAUUCAUGCUAGUUUUUCAUUUACCCUUAAAAUCAAUUUUUCCACUUAUUUGCUUCAGUACUCAACAAAGCAAAGACUAAAGAGACUCAAGCUCCUCCUCUCAUUUUGAGUUUUUCUGAAUUUACAUAGACACAUGUUAUAAAAAUUGGCUCUGUCUCCUUUUAUUUGAUAUUCUUUGUAGUUUGGUCACAUUUUUCUGCUUUUGACCCUUUUUCUGAACCCUCUACAUCUGUUUCAAUGAUGAGAUUGCUUACUCAUAAUUUAUAAUGUAAAGAAAUGUAUAGGGGCUUAAAUAAAACUAUAUGGGAAGAUUUUAUAUAUAUAUAUAUAUAUAUAUAUAUAUAUAUAUAUAUAUACACACACACACACAACACACACACACCCCUACACACACACACCCCUACACACACACACCCCUACACACACACACACACACACUCAAAGUAAGGCUAAUAAAAAACAUUAAAAUGACAAUGAAAUCAAUAUACUAAAUUCAUAUGCCAAUAGUAUCAGUAUUAUUCUAAUUGAACAUUUACUCAGAACAAAGGCCAAAAGACAGAUACAUGAUCAUACAGUUGGAUCAAAUAUAUUUGGAAAAAAGUACUUGUAACUCAUUGCAUCUGUGUUGAACAUGUACCGUCUUUUUCUCAUGUCAUUAUUUUCUAAAUAUUAUAAUAGCUAGUUACACAGCACUUACUUGUAUUAGGUAUUAUAAUCAUUUAGAGAUUAUUUCAGUUAUUCAGGAAGAUGUCCAUAAGUUAUAUGUAACUCCAUUUUACAUACAUUAUAUGUAACCCCAUAAGUUAUAUACUACCCCAUUUUAUAUAAGGACUUGAGUGCCUGUUGAUUUUGGUAUCUUAGAGGUUCUAAAACCAAUAUGAAACCUGCAGAUACCAAAGAAUGACUAUAUAAUUCCUCUGCUGACAAAACAAAGCACUCUUUUAGCAAAAAAUCUUCCUAAUAAAUUCUCUAAUAAAUUUGUCACAUGGAUGAAAAUACUGUCUACCUUACUUCAUAGAAAGUAGUCAAUAAAUAAAAUGAAUAAGGAAUUUUGUAUAUUUUUGCUUCUAAAAGUAAGCGUAGAAACAGCAACAGUGUAAUAACUUGUUGCUAAUAUUUGUGAGAACUGAACUAGGUGCUGUGCAAAAAAAUUUUAGCUCAUUUAUUCCACACAAACACUCCAUAGGGUAUGAGUACCAUGCCCACUGGGGCAUGCAGACAAGUUGUGCCUUAAGGGCCACAGUCAUAAGUGGAAAGCCAGGGCUUGCCAAUCUGCAGUCUCAUAGUAUCCUGCCAUAUUGGGUACAUCAUGCUGCAGGGUCCCUGCACAGGUAGAGAGUUUGCCACCUUCACAGAAACUUUCACAAUUGAGUAAAAUUGGCGGAACACCCUGGAUGCUCAUCUAUAAAUGAAUGUGAUUAUUCCCGUUCCCUGCUGUUGGAAUUGUCUUUCCAGAGGGCCAUUUGGCAAGUCUUGUAUACGAUGUCCUCAACUUGUCCAUCCCCUUUGGCCCAGUAUUAAACUUCAAGGAAUAUGGUAUCAGGAAAUUACACCUAUGUAUACACAAGAUUCAUAGACACAAAUUGGAUAUAUUUGAAAUAUUCUACAGUAGAGAAGUAGUUGCAAACACUAUAAUGAAACCAAUGAAGUGGAAUCAUAUGCCUCUAUGAGUUUUUUUUACAGGACCUAUAAAUACACUGAUAAAUGUUCACAGUAUUUUGUGAGGUGGGAGAAAAUGUAGCCUCAAGAUACCUAUAUUGUGGUUUAAUAGAUAAAAAAAGAUACCCAGUGCUUUAAUAGAUAAAAUCGUUAGAUAGUAUAUAUUAAAAUGUAAAGUCCUAUGGUCCAGUAGUUUUUCUCCAUAUUAUCACCCAUAGGCCGUAAUCACAUGAAUAUAAAAAGUUAAGUAUGCAGAUGUUAAUUGCCAUCUUAUCUUUUAAUAAUGAAAAUUGGAAAUCACAUUAUAUUUAUCAAGAAUGAAAGAGUUAUAUACAUGGAAGUAUUUAAAUACAUGGAAGUUCCUGACUGUGGAAUGCUAUGCAAAAGUUAGAAGGAAUGGGAUACAGGCAUGAAAAUAGCAAAAUAUUUUCUAGCAGAGUAUAAAUUAUUUGUUUCUGUUUUUGUCUUAAGAUGAGUCUUGUUGAAUUGCCCAGGCUGGCUUGGAACUUAUGAGCUCUUGCCUCAGCCACCUGAGUAACUGGGAUUACAGGUGAGCACCUUGGCCCUUGGCUUGGUUACGUUAUUUUGCUAAUUCAGUACAAUUUACUGCUAUGUUUAUAUGAAUAUGCAUGUUGAAAAGGUUUAGAUUUUCUCUAGAAGAAGAAUGACUGAUGAUAAUGGUUACUUAGUCUGAGAUAAUAAAUAGGAGAUAUGCUAUUUAUAUAUGCAAAAUUUGUUUUAGCUAUAGUUUUGGAUCAUUUGCAAGAAAAAUACAAUAAUCUGUUACUUAUGUAAUUUAAAUUCACUGUUCAUACACUGAGUGUGAAAGAAAAACAAAACUAAGUAUACAAAAAUGUUGAGUGCUGUCUUAGUAUUUGAUUUUGCUUUGACUAUUGUCCACGUUAAGGUCACUAAAUUGCUAAUUUUAAUUCUAGUUCUAAGUCUGAAAAUGCCAUACUUUAUAAGACUUGUAUAGGAUAAAUGUCCAUAAAUAAUUUUUGACAGAGCUGGCUGUUUGUCUAAAUUAGCAUAUUCCAAUGUCAUACUGCCAUCUUCUUCCUUUACUUAAUUUUCUUCUUAAUAUUACUGUAUAACAUUUGACAUGUAUGUUUAUUUGUGUGUGGUUGGUCUCUCCUUGAUAGAACAUAAGCUCCCCUAGGCGGGCCCUUGCUAUUUGAUUUAUUGCUAUUUGUUUUCUGUGGUGCAUAGCAUAGGGCCCUAUACAAAGAAGGCACUAAAUAAUUAAAUAAAUAGUUGUUUUUGCACAUAUAUGCCCAGGGAAGGGCCUGACAUGAUUUACAAUCACUAAAACACUAAUAGUGUUUUUCCUAGUGGUAGGGUUAUGGUGGAUUUUUAUUUACAUGAAAUGAGCUCUGUUUAAAAAAAUGUUUUCUAAAUGUGGGGGCUGGGAAACUGAUCUAAAAUAACUGCUCCUUGUAUAAAGUCUGUUUAUCUUGUGGCCUCCAAGGAAAUUUGGGUUAUUGACAUAGCCUUCCUUUUAUAGUGAGUAGAUGAUUCUGUAAAUUGACGUGCACUUUUUUUUUUAGGUGACCACGUGGCCUCAAGCAUUACCUUAAGAAUCAAUGAUUAAAAAAAAAAAUCAAUUAUAAUUUUGCCUACACCACAUCAUGUGGCAGAAACUGGGUAUGUUGUAAUUAAGACACAGAAAGUCUGCAAUUUUUCUUUGUAAUAUGAUUUGUAUUGUGAAGCAGGGACAAAAGGAACUCAGUUUCAACUUUGUAUGAAGAGCUCUUUAUGAGGAAGCUUCGUGGGGAUUGUCUCUGUUUGCCUCUAUGUCUUUGCCUCGGAAACUGCAGGGGAUAAAUCAGAGAUGAGCUUCGAGGAACUGACUUCUUAGCAGUUCAAGGAACCCAUAGCAGGCUUGUUAACACUGUGAGGCCUGAGGACAAAAUUGGCUUGAGGAAGUGAACUCUGCCUUGAGUCUCCUCUGUUCAGCUGGUCUUGGCUGUGAACCUUCUGUAUGCCCACCCAGGACUACAAGCUGGGGGGCUGUGUCAGGGAUGUGUUACAUGGCUGUGCCUGUCACAUGCUGGCCCACCUCUACUGAGAAGCCACAAUGCAUGUGAGGUCUUCUUUCUGUUGAUAACGGAGUACCUCUCAUAUCUUCGGGGUCUGUAAUUCCUCUUUAAAUAUGCAGUGGAAUUGUUUGUUGCUAUUGUUAGAAAUGUAAAUGAAAAUUUCCUGAAAGAUUUAGUUAAAGGACUUCAAUGUUUAUUAAGGAAAUGUCUUGUCCCUUUCCCUAAAAUUAUAAUUUUUAAAUUAGAAAAAUGUCUUAAAGUAGAGAAAAACCUAUAUACCAAUAAACUGUUAUUUGAACCCUUAUGUGCCAAACACUGGGUAUAUCCACAUGAGAAAGCACUAUUCCCAUUUCACAGAUAAAGAAAGGGAAGGUCAAAAAACAUGACUGACUGACUUACCUAGACAUUUACUGGCUUACAGAGACUGAACUCCUGGCUGUCUAUUUGCAGCCAAGAGUAGUUACUGAGAUAGAGAGUACUGGCGUGAGAUGCAGGUGAGUUAACAGAACCUUCAGCAAAGGUAUUAAAGCUAAGAAUCUAG
RNAcentral lists this long non-coding RNA (23842 nucleotides) under Marmota monax (woodchuck). Lineage: Eukaryota; Metazoa; Chordata; Mammalia; Rodentia; Sciuridae. The record is from RNAcentral.